Molecule: long non-coding RNA, 658 nt
Filed under: Daphnia magna
Lineage: Eukaryota; Metazoa; Arthropoda; Branchiopoda; Diplostraca; Daphniidae
Description: uncharacterized LOC123469147, transcript variant X2
Source: RNAcentral
GGGAUCGUUACUUGUGAUAAAUGUUUUUAGUUCUUCUUGACAUUUUGUCCAAUCUGUGUCACAAUCUUCCAUGGUUAGUUGUUGUUCAAGCCCAUGAUGUGUGACACAUUUUCCGUUUGGAUAUUGUCCGUUCUUCAACAAUCCCCAGGCGAUCAUGUCCCAGAUGAUGUUUCCGCUGCCGUGAUUUGCUUUCAAGAUACCGCCAAAUAUGGAACCACUGCUGGUUUUUCCUGGUAUCUCCUUCCAAAGCACACUUUUCCAAUUUUAAGGUUUCGUCGACCCCUACGGCUGCAGCAAAUACGUAAUCGUGUGUUGUCUCCGUGAUGCAGAUAUGAGUAUUUUGUACGCGUAUCGUUUGGUCGACAAUGUACUCGAAUUUUGAUCCUGAUGGAAGAGGGUCGUCCUUUGAAAGUUGACUGUACGUUGUCAAAGGGUUUCUGCUUCCGGACUCAGUUCCCCAGGCGUAUGAAAUACUGUAGAGACGAAUCCCAAGUUGUUCGUCUUCGACUUGAGUGUCGAAGAGAAAGUGAACUUCUUGAAGAAGCGAACGUUGUGGUCUGGAUUUGUACAACUCUCGGUAGUCUUCGCACACGGGUGUGGCAAGGAAACGUCAAAUACGUUAGAGGGAUUCCAACCACUUUAUGUCCUACUGGUGCGA